GAUGAACGCUAGCGGGAGGCCUAACACAUGCAAGCCGAGCGGUAUUGUUUCUUCGGAAAUGAGAGAGCGGCGUACGGGUGCGUAACACGUGUGCAACCUGCCUUUAUCUGGGGGAUAGCCUUUCGAAAGGAAGAUUAAUACUCCAUAAUAUAUUGAACGGCAUCGUUUAAUAUUGAAAGCUCCGGCGGAUAGAGAUGGGCACACGCAAGAUUAGCUAGUUGGUGAGGUAACGGCUCACCAAGGCGAUGAUCUUUAGGGGGCCUGAGAGGGUGAUCCCCCACACUGGUACUGAGACACGGACCAGACUCCUACGGGAGGCAGCAGUGAGGAAUAUUGGUCAAUGGGUGCAAGCCUGAACCAGCCAUCCCGCGUGAAGGACGACUGCCCUAUGGGUUGUAAACUUCUUUUGUAUAGGGAUAAACCUACCCUCGAGAGGGUAGCUGAAGGUACUAUACGAAUAAGCACCGGCUAACUCCGUG
RNAcentral lists this ribosomal RNA (479 nucleotides) under uncultured bacterium. Its description in RNAcentral is "partial 16S ribosomal RNA". It matches the Rfam family "Bacterial small subunit ribosomal RNA", at positions 28 to 507 of the family's 1533-position model. The record is from RNAcentral.